This 267-nucleotide ribosomal RNA is filed under the name uncultured soil bacterium. RNAcentral's name for it is "partial 16S ribosomal RNA". It matches the Rfam family "Bacterial small subunit ribosomal RNA", at positions 26 to 320 of the family's 1533-position model. The record is from RNAcentral.
AGAACGAACGCUGGCGGCAUGCCUAAUACAUGCAAGUCGAACGAACACUUCGGUGUUAGUGGCGCACGGGUGCGUAACGCGUGGGAAUCUGCCCUUGGGUUCGGAAUAACAGUUGGAAACGACUGCUAAUACCGGAUGAUAUCGAAAGAUCAAAGAUUUAUCGCCCAGGGAUGAGCCCGCGUAGGAUUAGCUAGUUGGUGAAGGUAAAGGCUCACCAAGGCGACGAUCCUUAGCUGGUCUGAGAGGAUGAUCAGCCACACUGGGACU